CCUACGGGAGGCAGCAGUGGGGAAUAUUGCACAAUGGGGGAAACCCUGAUGCAGCGACGCCGCGUGAGUGAAGAAGUAAUUCGUUAUGUAAAGCUCUAUCAGCAGGGAAGAAAAUGACGGUACCUGAGUAAGAAGCCCCGGCUAACUACGUGCCAGCAGCCGCGGUAAUACGUAGGGGGCAAGCGUUAUCCGGAUUUACUGGGUGUAAAGGGAGCGUAGACGGCAGUGCAAGUCUGGAGUGAAAGGCGGGGGCUCAACCCCCGGACUGCUCUGGCAACGGUACGGCUGGAGUGCAGGAGAGGUAAGUGGAAUUCCUGGUGUAGCGGUGAAAUGCGUAGAUAUUAGGAGGAACACCAGUGGCGAAGGCGGCUUGCUGGACUGUAACUGACGUUGAGGCUCGAAAGCGUGGGGAGCAAACAGGAUUAGAUACCCGAGUAGUC
RNAcentral lists this ribosomal RNA (440 nucleotides) under uncultured bacterium. RNAcentral's name for it is "partial 16S ribosomal RNA". It matches the Rfam family "Bacterial small subunit ribosomal RNA", at positions 338 to 795 of the family's 1533-position model. The record is from RNAcentral.